GGAUGAGAGGGCGAUCUGCCCGCGACAUGUGUCACCCCAUUGAUCACCAGGGUUGAUUCGGCUGACCUGGCUGGCUAGGCGGGUGUCCCCUUCCUCCCUCACUGCUCCAUGUGCGUCCCUCCUGGAGUUGUGUGCUUGGUCAAAGAGGACGAGCUUCCCCAAAUAGAGGAGGGCAAGUCAAGGGCCAACGGCGUACAAGUACUUGUACUUCCUGCUAAAACCUCCAAACAAGCUCCCAAGGGCCCAGGAUGCAGCUCAACCAUCUACAGCGGGUGGCUUU
Molecule: small nuclear RNA, 280 nt
Filed under: Jaculus jaculus (lesser Egyptian jerboa)
Lineage: Eukaryota; Metazoa; Chordata; Mammalia; Rodentia; Dipodidae
Description: 7SK RNA (ENSJJAG00000001183.1)
Rfam family: 7SK RNA
About the family: 7SK was discovered as an abundant small nuclear RNA in the mid-70s but a possible function has only recently been suggested. Two independent studies have found that 7SK RNA binds the CDK9/cyclin T complex (known as elongation factor P-TEFb). P-TEFb activates transcription by phosphorylating the C-terminal domain of RNA polymerase II.
Source: RNAcentral